UUGAAAGGGAAACGAUUGAAGUCAGUCGUACCGACGAGAAUUCAGCUCUUCAAGUGCGAACUUGUGGGCGUGCGUGAGCUUUAAAACCUCGCUGUUUGCAACGUUUGUGCUUUUUGGGUGUACUUUUUCGUAUGGUAGGCCAACGUCAGUUUCGUUUACCAUAAAAUGGUCGGAGGAAUGUAGCUUCGAUCUCGUAUUGAAGUGUUAUAGCCUCUGGUAGAUGUGGUGAACGAAACUGAGGAUUGCAACGAAUACCCUUUGGGCUAUCCGUCUGACCUCUGAAAGUUGCUUAGGUGCCGAAAGCAUGCUUACGGUUAUUUAAGUUGACGGUCAACAGGUUAGAACGUGAUUACAUUCGUUAAGGAUGUUGACGUAA
Molecule: ribosomal RNA, 376 nt
Filed under: uncultured Glomeromycotina
Lineage: Eukaryota; Fungi; Glomeromycota
Description: LSU rRNA
Source: RNAcentral